GGGCGUUCCAUAUCAGAAGCGGAGCGUAACUUGUUGAGUUAUCCUGUUGUUGUUAUGCAUUUGCAAGGUGAUAACGCGGUAGAUACAGCUAUCUGUAUAGCGAAUGACGUUAAUUUAAGAGGGAUAUGAUGUGCGUUGAGGUCUUUGACUCGGAUUCCGCUGCAAAAGAAGCUAUCGAACUAUGGUUCCCUAACGAACCAGAGAGGUUGCAAGAGGAAUGCAAGGAGCUAAAUUCUUAUCUCCGGCUGGCAAAGUUGUCAGUUCAGAGGAAAAUCUGCCCGAACACUAUUUUAGAAAUCGAGGAGUCGAGAUUGAAACUCGUGAAGUUGAAUGGCUAUCCUUAGAACAGUGCAUGGUCCUGUGAUUCUUCCUCUAAUGAAUCUGACAGUGCUGGUAAUCCCCUUGGUGUUGCUGUGGUUUUGCAAAUGGAAGAAGACCAGACAAAGUACCUGCUUAACUCAGAAUUUCUGGUUGACAAGAGGCUCUUCUACAUUAGUGAUAAUUGGCAAACGGCUUGGUAGUUGUGUGAUAUGUAUUUCCCUUUAGGCUUUGCUUUAUGGAAGGAUCAGAAGCGCCAGCCUACACUUGAGGCAAGUUUGAUUAGGCUUCUUUAGCUCUGAUCUUUUGCUGUGGCAAAAUUUAUGUCUGUACUCGAGUCACUGCUACUCUGUUGUAAAUAAUAGAGUUAAUGAUAGUGAUAAUGGGUCAAACAUUGUUCUGUUGGGAAGGAACA
This is a long non-coding RNA of Papaver somniferum (opium poppy), 733 nucleotides long. RefSeq lists it as uncharacterized. The record is from RefSeq and is a predicted model, not a curated record. The transcript is spliced from 4 exons. Lineage: Eukaryota; Viridiplantae; Streptophyta; Magnoliopsida; Ranunculales; Papaveraceae.